RNAcentral lists this ribosomal RNA (253 nucleotides) under uncultured bacterium. RNAcentral's name for it is "partial 16S ribosomal RNA". It matches the Rfam family "Bacterial small subunit ribosomal RNA", at positions 524 to 776 of the family's 1533-position model. The record is from RNAcentral.
UACGUAGGGGGCUAGCGUUGUCCGGAUUUAUUGGGCGUAAAGAGCUCGUAGGUGGUUCGGUAAGUCGGAUGUGAAAUCUCCAGGCUCAACCUGGAGGGGUCAUUCGAUACUGCCGUGCUUGAGGACUGGAGAGGAGACUGGAAUUUACGGUGUAGCGGUGAAAUGCGUAGAUAUCGUAAGGAAGACCAGUGGCGAAGGCGGGUCUCUGGACAGUUCCUGACGCUGAAGCACGAAGGCCAGGGGAGCAAACGGG